UACAGAGGUGGCAAGCGUUGUUCGGAAUUACUGGGCGUAAAGGGCGCGUAGGCGGCCUUGUAAGUCCUGUGUGAAAUCCCCCGGCUCAACUGGGGAACUGCACAGGAGACUGCUUGGCUUGAGUUCGGGAGAGGGAAGCGGAAUUCCGGGUGUAGCGGUGAAAUGCGUAGAUAUCGGGAGGAACACCAGCGGCGAAGGCGGCAAACUGGACCGACAUUGACGCUGAGGAGCGAAAGCUAGGGGAGCAAACGGG
RNAcentral lists this ribosomal RNA (253 nucleotides) under uncultured bacterium. Its description in RNAcentral is "partial 16S ribosomal RNA". It matches the Rfam family "Bacterial small subunit ribosomal RNA", at positions 524 to 776 of the family's 1533-position model. The record is from RNAcentral.